This 1264-nucleotide long non-coding RNA is filed under the name Struthio camelus australis. RNAcentral describes it as "lncRNA (ENSSCUG00000011225.1)". Lineage: Eukaryota; Metazoa; Chordata; Aves; Struthioniformes; Struthionidae. The record is from RNAcentral.
CGGGAGGCACCGUGUGGUGGCUGUGCCAGGGCCCGGCGCGGCUCUGCAGGCCCCCAGAGCUCCUCGCAAUGCAGCUCCGUCCUGCAGAGCGGAGCCCGCGGUAUCCUCCUUGUCCUCGGCUGUCUCCCCUCGGUGGUGCGUGCCGUGAGUCACGAGGAGCCUGGUGCCGCUCCAAACGCGUGUCAGCCCCGGCCUAGUGAGAGGUUCAUAGCAGGCACAGGCAAAUGGGUGGAGUUGGUAGCUGUCUGAAGUAGCCAAGAUCUUCAGUUGAUAUCGUUAAUUAUCAUGUGAUGGUGCCAAAGUUUGCGAGGCUCCGUGCAGCACAGAACAAAAUGACAUAUUCCCUGCCCCAAGGAGUUUACAAUCUAAAGUGGAUCUGACAACACGAGGGUGUGACAGGACACCACGAGGCUGCAGCAACAGGAUCAUGCUGUUGAGGUCUCAACUUACUCCAGCACUACAGAUGAGAGAAAGCGACAGCUCCAGAGGCCUCUUGGGAUGGCAGGAUGGAUCUGACAAAGCAAGGUGUGACAGAAUGCCACAAGGUUGCAGCAACAGAAUCCUAGGAUCCAGUGACCAGAUAAAGAGUGGAUGCUGUUGUUGGCUACAGAUUCAAAUGUCAUCUGGGUUUGGACUCUUCCAGCUUAUGAUUUCAUCUUUGCAAAUACUGAGUUUCAGAAGUCUGUUAAUAUGCUCUGUACACUGAAAUGCUCAGUCUGAAAUAGUUUCAGACAUUAAACUCUAAUUAAAACAUUUUAUGGUUGAAUUAAGCCUGCUUCCACUGUUACAAAAAUUCUACUAAUGAAAUCACAUCUUAGUAUUUUAGACCAGAUACCUGAAUUUUGCUUGUUCAUGUAUUCCCUUCAUCCAGACAAACUAACCAUGUUCAGGGAGCAGGACUUAAGAAUCUUAAAAGGCACACAUUAUUUCUGGAGCAAAUCAAACAGAAUAACAUAGUUAGCAUUAGCAUUGCCAUUUCCAAGAGAGGCAUAAUGUGUGGAAUUUGUUAGUUUAAGUUAGCUGCAUCUUCUAAUUUGGUAACCUCACAUCCUGUAAAUUCCAGGACUAAUGCCAUUAUCCAACAUCACAAAACGAAGGACUGGUGAUCUUUUGAAUGUCUCAGUGGGUAAAAUAGGUGACAGGAAAAAGAUCUGCCCACUUGCAGAUUCAUCCAAGUCCCGCUACAUGGAUUGGAAAGGCGUCCAUUGACUUCACUGGGAACUGGGUAAGGCUCUAAACGUCAAUAAAAAUCAAAGAAGCCUCA